This is a non-coding RNA of Hydra vulgaris (swiftwater hydra), 880 nucleotides long. Lineage: Eukaryota; Metazoa; Cnidaria; Hydrozoa; Anthoathecata; Hydridae. The record is from RefSeq and is a predicted model, not a curated record.
AUUAUUUCUAUAAUAUAGACUAAAUGGAUUAUUUAUAGUCUUGUUUAACUUUAUAUUUUUGACAUAUGACAUGUAGUAACAUACCAUAUUAGUACCAUAUUAGUUUAAAUCAGUUGUAAAAUUAAAAAUGUUAACAUCUUUGAUAGGUAUAUUUAUUUAGGUUAAUUACAGCUAAGUUUACAUGGCUAGUUAAUAUGCUUUUAUAAAUUGCAAUUUUUAUUAAUUUCCAAAUUAAACAUGUGGCAUCCAAUAUCAUAAACUAAGAUUAUACUGGUGUGUUUAUAUUAUUUUAGAAUUUUUUGUUUUAGACACAUGGCAUUUGUUAUCCCACUAAUUUGCUGCUUUAGAGGCAUAGCAUUUAGUGUCACAUUGUAGGUUUAAAUUGGUUGUAGAAUUUAUAUUGUAACUUGCAUAUUUAUUUAGUUGAGUUUAAUCUAAGUUUAUAUCUGAUGUGUUUGUAUUAUUUUAGAAUUUACUGUUUUAGACACGUGGCAUGUGGUAUCCCACUAAUUAGCUAUUUUAAACAUGUGACAAGUGGUAUGACACUGUAUUGAUGUAUGUGAAAUGUAUAGAGUCUUUCAGUUAUCAGAUAAUAUCAAGGCAAUCUUAUACUUUUUUUUUAAUUUACAUUUUAAUAAAGAUAUAAUUUACUUGUUCCAUUUAACUUUAUCUUUAAAAAAACGAUAUCAGAGAUAAUUAAAAUAACAAAAUUUAGAAUAGAAAUUUGUAUAUAAUGAAUUACCAAAAACACUUUCUAUAGUAUUUAAACCAACCAAACCAAAACUAGCGACCAAAAACUAUCUUGGCAUUGGUUUAUUUUAAACAUCUAUUAUAUAUAUGUGUGUUUUUUAUAUAAAUGUACUAGCUUGAGUAUAGUGUA